Molecule: long non-coding RNA, 1622 nt
Organism: Lycium barbarum (goji berry)
Lineage: Eukaryota; Viridiplantae; Streptophyta; Magnoliopsida; Solanales; Solanaceae
Exons: 3
Source: RefSeq, a predicted model, not a curated record
UUUUUAAAAAGUUGGGAAAGGUAAAUGAUUUUCACCCAAUAUAAAUUCAUUUAUGAAGGUGUUAUUAAUUUAACCGAUAACCACUAAACAAAUACUAAGCCAAUCGAUAUCUUAUAGGUCUGUUAUCGGGUUAAUACAUUUAAAAGACAUUUAUAAUAUAUAGAAGGGGGAGUUUGAAGGCCGAACAAGGACGAACAAGGGCAAAAAUAUAUUUUUAAUGUUUGUUUUGGGAAAAUUUGGAACUUAACUUACUCUUAUAUACAUUCUUCUCCCUUAUUCUAGGAAAAAAAAAAAAAGGAAAUACGGAUCAAAUUUUCUAUUAGCUUCUCAUUCUCUACUUCUACCUUCAUACUGCUCCUUAAUUCAGAUUAUCGUGCUUUGCUUCGAGUUUUUCCCCAGUGUUGUUGUAUUUCGGAGGUACAGUAAUAUUUUUUUUUGUUGGUAUUUUAUUCCACUACUUUUGAUGACUAUAUGAUGAUAGGUUUUCUGCUGGUUUUGUAAUAUAUUGUAGAACUUUGCAUGGCUAUUAUGCUGAUUUUGUAGGAAUUUGGGGUUCAUAGCAAUCUUAGGUUUCUUCCAAUUUUUCAAUUUUACGAAGAAAAAGAAAGGCCAACACCAGUUUAAGAAAUUAGUUUUUUGUUUUUUUGUCCUAAAAAUGAAUCUCAGUCGAAUUAUUAUCUUCUUACGUGGCUGAGAUAUGCUCAGAUUUUUUUCUCUAUGCUUUGAUCAUCUUUGACGCCUUUUCUUCUUAUACUAACCAAAUUAAAGUUUCAUAUCUCCUUCCUUUAUUCACAUCACAAAUGCUUUAUUGCAAUUUGGCAUGUUUCUGAGGUGAAUUAUACUUUAGAAUAAAGACUACUUUGGUGGGUUUGGAGAUAACUGAAAAGUAAGCAUUUUGUUCUAUUCUCAAAAGAAAAAAUAGGCCUUUUGUUUUGGAAGAACCCAGCUAGCUACAAGCAUCAAAGAUUGUAUCUUUGUGUGUUUGAGGUUGAAUCAUGAUUCAGAUCAGAGAGAAAUUUGGUGUAUUAUUUAGGACACUUCGAAUCAUUUGGCGAUAAGACUCCCUGUAGUGGCAUUGUGUCAUACUGCCAUUCGUUGGAACCUGUUAAAGAGAAAGGUUAGAUCUUGGAGAGGGGUAAGAAAUACAUCUUGAAGUGCAAGCUAAAAUACUUUUUUCCCAAGACAACAAUAAGGUUGUUUAGAAGAAAGUGACAAAAAAAUGGAGAAAAAUGUCCAAAAUUAAUGUUGCAAUCUUAUUGUUUGGUAAUUUGAACUCUAUAUCCUAGAUCAAGGACAAGGAGCUAAGUAAGCAUGCAAUGGUCAAGGAUGCUACCCAUCCUUCUAGAUGAACUAAUUGAAUUGACUGUUAGUGCGUCAAACAACUUUUGUUGCUUUCUGCUUCAGAUCUAAUGCCAUCAUUAUUUUCUAAAUUAUUACGAAGUCAUGUUGUUCUCUUUAAAUUAUCUUACUUAAAACUUAUUUUGUUCACAUGAACCGUAAGUGUUGAGCCCGUGUCUAGUAUAAAAUAGGGAUAUUUUCGGAGACCUCUCUUGAGGUUUGGCUCCGUUUCACUGACCUCCCCUAUGUUUUACGCUAUUACACUUAACUCCCUUGUUUUGACU